Molecule: long non-coding RNA, 1368 nt
Organism: Tupaia belangeri chinensis (Chinese tree shrew)
Lineage: Eukaryota; Metazoa; Chordata; Mammalia; Scandentia; Tupaiidae
Exons: 2
Source: RefSeq, a predicted model, not a curated record
GGCCUGGCCGAGACAGGCAGCUCCUCAAGGCCAGUGGCCAGUCCUCCGGCCACAGCCAGGUCACCGAGAGCAGCGGCUCCACACCCGAGUCCUGCCCAGAGCUCUCCGAUGAGGACGAGGACGGCAGCUUCGUUCCCGGCACCUCUCCGCCAUGCUGAGCUCCACGGUGCGAGCUGGGCACACACCAGCCCCGGGCCUCCUGCAGAGUCCCCGCUCAUGGUUCCUGCUCUGGGUGUUCCUGGCGCGUCAGCUGUUUAUCAACUGCAUCCUCAAAUAAGAGCCGCUUGGCAGUGAGGACGUCACCUGCAGAACUCCUGGCCAGCCCCAGACCCUCCCUCCCAGGCACCCAGCACUUUAAGUCGGCCCAGGGAGGCAGAGAGGCCCGGCAAGCACAGACACUGUGACGGAGGGGCCCACGGUGCAGACAGGACAGGACAGCAGGAGGGACCUGGGGGCUGCGGGACACUACGGCCUGCUUGUGCUGGGCCCCACAUGGGGGACCCUGGCCUCACCUGCAGGGCCUUCCGCCCAGGCCGGCCUUAAUGCUAAAGCCAAAUGCAGCUUUUAUUGUGCGAGGCGCUCCCUGGUCAUCACGCCUGGCCGUCCCCGGUCCAGUCUCCACUUGCCUCGUGGGAUUGAUGGAUCUGGGGGCUGGGAAGGCCUGCCCAGGCUCUGGGUGGUGGUCAUACCCAUGCCACAGUGAGUGGGAAGGUUUCAAGGAGCAAACCAGGAGCCCGGAGUGGCCCAGGGCCCCCCAGGAGUCGCGGGGCUCAGAUGCCCUGAUGCCUAUGCCCUCCUUCCUGAGACCCUGCCGGGGCUGCCAGGUUACCCAGGAGGGGCAUCAGGAACAGGCUAGGGCCACUCUGUUGAGGAUGCAGGGGAUUAUUCUACCACUGGACAGGAGUGCAGUGUAGGUAGGUACUGGGACACUCCCCGCCUGCUUGUGUGGGUACAGGUGGAGGUGGCUGGGUGUGAGUGAGCGUGCGCAGGGGGGCGGUGGUGUGCACAGGGUUGGCUGAGCCUGCCCAGCGUCCCCUUGGUCAGGGAGGCUCAAGCUUGUCACUUUGCUCAGACCAACACAUAGUCUUCCUGUUUUACACUUUUUUAAUAAACAUAAUUGCAAUAUUUUAGGUGGGCUGCUAGCAAAAGUACGCCUCCGGCCUCAGUCCCUCUGUGUGCGUGCGUGCGUGUGCACGCAUCGACACGUACAUCUACACAUACGGAGCCUUAAACUACGCCGUGGUGGUGCCCUGAGCUAGAACUGAUCGUUUUCAUUCCACGAUUUUUGUAUCCAUGUUCUUGUCUCUCCCCCUCCUCCGGUUGGGGACUCGUCAGUGCUCCAUGCCUUGAAAUAAACGGACAGACAUG